AGUGAACGCUGGCGGUAGGCCUAACACAUGCAAGUCGAACGGCAGCACAGUAAGAGCUUGCUCUUACGGGUGGCGAGUGGCGGACGGGUGAGGAAUACAUCGGAAUCUACUUUUUCGUGGGGGAUAACGUAGGGAAACUUACGCUAAUACCGCAUACGACCUACGGGUGAAAGCAGGGGAUCUUCGGACCUUGCGCGAUUGAAUGAGCCGAUGUCGGAUUAGCUAGUUGGCGGGGUAAAGGCCCACCAAGGCGACGAUCCGUAGCGGGUCUGAGAGGAUGAUCAGCCACACUGGAACCGAGACACGGUCCAGACUCCUACGGGAGGCAGCAGUGGGGAAUAUUGGACAAUGGGCGCAAGCCUGAUCCAGCCAUACCGCGUGGGUGAAGAAGGCCUUCGGGUUGUAAAGCCCUUUUGUUGGGAAAGAAAAGCAGCAGGUUAAUACCCCGCUGUUCUGACGGUACCCAAAGAAUAAGCACCGGCUAACUUCGUG
This 492-nucleotide ribosomal RNA is filed under the name uncultured bacterium. RNAcentral's name for it is "partial 16S ribosomal RNA". It matches the Rfam family "Bacterial small subunit ribosomal RNA", at positions 29 to 507 of the family's 1533-position model. The record is from RNAcentral.